CGGCCCGUCGAGCGGCGGACGGGUGAGUAAUGCCUAGGAAAUUGCCCUGAUGUGGGGGAUAACCAUUGGAAACGAUGGCUAAUACCGCAUGAUGCCUACGGGCCAAAGAGGGGGACCUUCGGGCCUCUCGCGUCAGGAUAUGCCUAGGUGGGAUUAGCUAGUUGGUGAGGUAAGGGCUCACCAAGGCGACGAUCCCUAGCUGGUCUGAGAGGAUGAUCAGCCACACUGGAACUGAGACACGGUCCAGACUCCUACGGGAGGCAGCAGUGGGGAAUAUUGCACAAUGGGCGCAAGCCUGAUGCAGCCAUGCCGCGUGUGUGAAGAAGGCCUUCGGGUUGUAAAGCACUUUCAGUCGUGAGGAAGGUAGUGUAGUUAAUAGCUGCAUUAUUUGACGUUAGCGACAGAAGAAGCACCGGCUAACUCCGUGCCAGCAGCCGCGGUAAUACGGAGGGUGCGAGCGUUAAUCGGAAUUACUGGGCGUAAAGCGCAUGCAGGUGGUUUGUUAAGUCAGAUGUGAAAGCCCGGGGCUCAACCUCGGAAUUGCAUUUGAAACUGGCAGACUAGAGUACUGUAGAGGGGGGUAGAAUUUCAGGUGUAGCGGUGAAAUGCGUAGAGAUCUGAAGGAAUACCGGUGGCGAAGGCGGCCCCCUGGACAGAUACUGACACUCAGAUGCGAAAGCGUGGGGAGCAAACAGGAUUAGAUACCCUGGUAGUCCACGCCGUAAACGAUGUCUACUUGGAGGUUGUGGCCUUGAGCCGUGGCUUUCGGAGCUAACGCGUUAAGUAGACCGCCUGGGGAGUACGGUCGCAAGAUUAAAACUCAAAUGAAUUGACGGGGGCCCGCACAAGCGGUGGAGCAUGUGGUUUAAUUCGAUGCAACGCGAAGAACCUUACCUACUCUUGACAUCCAGAGAACUUUCCAGAGAUGGAUUGGUGCCUUCGGGAACUCUGAGACAGGUGCUGCAUGGCUGUCGUCAGCUCGUGUUGUGAAAUGUUGGGUUAAGUCCCGCAACGAGCGCAACCCUUAUCCUUGUUUGCCAGCGAGUAAUGUCGGGAACUCCAGGGAGACUGCCGGUGAUAAACCGGAGGAAGGUGGGGACGACGUCAAGUCAUCAUGGCCCUUACGAGUAGGGCUACACACGUGCUACAAUGGCGCAUACAGAGGGCGGCCAACUUGCGAAAGUGAGCGAAUCCCAAAAAGUGCGUCGUAGUCCGGAUUGGAGUCUGCAACUCGACUCCAUGAAGUCGGAAUCGCUAGUAAUCGUGGAUCAGAAUGCCACGGUGAAUACGUUCCCGG
RNAcentral lists this ribosomal RNA (1297 nucleotides) under Vibrio parahaemolyticus. Its description in RNAcentral is "bacterial SSU rRNA". It matches the Rfam family "Bacterial small subunit ribosomal RNA", at positions 84 to 1377 of the family's 1533-position model. The record is from RNAcentral. Lineage: Bacteria; Pseudomonadati; Pseudomonadota; Gammaproteobacteria; Vibrionales; Vibrionaceae.